This 242-nucleotide long non-coding RNA is filed under the name Elaeis guineensis (African oil palm). RNAcentral describes it as "long non-coding RNA (EGUI_LNC022049)". Lineage: Eukaryota; Viridiplantae; Streptophyta; Magnoliopsida; Arecales; Arecaceae. The record is from RNAcentral.
CCCUGAGGCCCUCCACUAUGACCUCGACAACCUUCGGGAACCACCGCGAUAGGUCGCUCACCUCCAUCGAUGAUGACUCCGAUGAGAUCCAGAUGGUGCAUCCUUGCACCGCCCUCCUCCGACUCGAUUCCGACCGUUCCACACCCUUUGAGUCCUUCGGAUGCUCCUAUGAGCUGGUCGCCUUGAACUCCGACACUGACGACAACGGCAGCCCAUCGGAUCUCCGACAAUCAUGCCAAGAA